GGAUCUCGUACGUGACCUGCGGAGGGUCAUUACACAAAUAUGAAGGCGGGCUGGAACCUCUCGGGGUUACAGCCUUGCUGAAUUAUUCACCCUUGUCUUUUGCGUACUUCUUGUUUCCUUGGUGGGUUCGCCCACCACUAGGACAAACAUAAACCUUUUGUAAUUGCAAUCAGCGUCAGUAACAAAUUAAUAAUUACAACUUUCAACAACGGAUCUCUUGGUUCUGGCAUCGAUGAAGAACGCAGCGAAAUGCGAUAAGUAGUGUGAAUUGCAGAAUUCAGUGAAUCAUCGAAUCUUUGAACGCACAUUGCGCCCUUUGGUAUUCCAAAGGGCAUGCCUGUUCGAGCGUCAUUUGUACCCUCAAGCUUUGCUUGGUGUUGGGCGUCUUGUCUCUAGCUUUGCUGGAGACUCGCCUUAAAGUAAUUGGCAGCCGGCCUACUGGUUUCGGAGCGCAGCACAAGUCGCACUCUCUAUCAGCAAAGGUCUAGCAUCCAUUAAGCCUUUUUUUCAACUUUUGACCUCGGAUCAGGUAGGGAUACCCGCUGAACUUAA
This 552-nucleotide ribosomal RNA is filed under the name Alternaria alternata. RNAcentral describes it as "eukaryotic LSU rRNA". The stretch from base 198 to 351 matches the Rfam family "5.8S ribosomal RNA". The record is from RNAcentral. Lineage: Eukaryota; Fungi; Ascomycota; Dothideomycetes; Pleosporales; Pleosporaceae.